CUCAUGUCCUAAGCUGAUAUUGCCUAAUCUUGAUGGAUUCAAGUACUUGGAAGAGGUGUCAAUAAGAUAUUGCAAUUCCAUUGAAAGAGUGGACCUUUCACAAUUGAAUCGUCUAAAACAAUUACAGGCUAGGGAUUGCGACAAUCUAGUUGAAAUUCGAGGUCUUGAUAAGGCGGAGUUGUUAGAGGCAUUGAAUAUCUCUAAUUGUAGGUCCAUUGAAAGAUUACCUGACCUACCAUGCUUCGGGACCCUGAAAGAGUUGAAUAUCAAUGGUUGUCGCAAUUUACGUGGUGUCCAGAGUCUCGAGAAAUUCUUGUCUUGCCGAAGCAUAUAUAUAGAGGGGUGCCAAUCCCUAGAAAAACUACCAAACCUAUCGAAGUUUGAAAAUUUAGAGGAUUUCACAUUGAUAGAUUCCAUUGGUGUUACAGAAAUUCCCGGGGUUGAGGAAUCAGGAUCUCUAACUUAUAUAAAUAUCACAAGAUGUGAAUCAAUUGAGACUUUGCCAGAUUUGUCGAGAUGUGAGAAGUUACAAUCUCUACUGGUACGAGACUGCAUGAAACUUACUCAGCUUAGGGGACUUGAAAAGUUGGAUUUAAUUUGUUGGGAUAUUUCUGGGUGCAUCUCAUUGGAAACGGUACCGGAGUUACCUCGAAUAAGUCUAUCUUCGAAUCAUGAGGCAUGGGAAAAUGGAGGAGUGGGUGAUAAAAUUAUGUUGCGAUGAUAAUGGCGUGAUAAUUCUAAUAUUCAUGUUACAUCAACUGAGACGAGUCAUGUUUUCUUAAUAGAGGGUUCUGCAAUUUCCUAAUUCCCAGUCUUACAUAAUUGCAAGAGUGGGGGAGCAUGACGCUUCAGCCAAGAUCAAAAUGUAGAUGCAAAUGUAGUUGGACGUAUAUUAGAAGGCGUUGGUCAUCUGAGACCGAUCAAAAUGAAGAAGAGGGCCGAGGAAGCAUCAGGGACAGCUAAGGGCCAUCUUUUUGUGCCGACCUUGGAGAGGCUCACUAGCCAACUGAAGUGUCUUGAAGAAGUUUGUUAUGCCUGUGAAGAUCGAAGCACUCAAUCUAGUCUCAACAGCACACAACUGAAUGGUUGUGAAUGUAUUCAAUUUCGAUGGAAUCUGUUUUUUGUAUGCUCAUUAGGUUCUACCUCUCUAUUAAUCAAAUACGUACCUGCAGAUUUUUAUGCAUCUUACGCUGAUGCAGAGUUUGAUGCAGUUGCGUUCUCAUGACAUCAUUCCCGAACUCAACGAGGCUCUGCAGGGGAGCUAAUUGGAAAAGCCAAUUAGUGUGAGACCAAAAUACAAGUUUUAUAUUUGAUGAUGCGGUUCCAAACUAUAAGACACACACACCUCCAGGUCGUCCAAAACUUCUGCAUGGCUUGCCUCGGAGGACACAACCAAGAGAAGGCAACAAAAUCUCACCAAGGAAUGAUAAAAGCCGAGAGAGGAAGAGGAAGAAGAAGAAGAAGCACUCUGUGCCAUCUUUUUGUGAUCAGUCUUUACAACUUUCUGAUCAGGUUUUUGAUAAAGUUGUUCAAAAGUCUUUGCUCAUGAAAUUCUACAGUCCAAUCUCGCUCUCUGGCCAAACAGCAGUUUUCACUAUAGGUCUCAAUUAUGUUCAUAGAUGCCAUUGGUGAUGACCAAUGAAGGAGGAAAUGAAGCGGAAGAUGAAGAAUAAAAUCGGAAGGGAAUGUCUUCAAAGUUCAAACAUAACAGAAGGAAUGGUGAGGAUUGCAGCUACCUCUGCUACCAGGACCUUCUCAUGUGGACUCCGGUGCCGCCUCCUCUGUGGUAUGAUGACUAGUUCAUCAAAUGCCA
Molecule: long non-coding RNA, 1813 nt
Organism: Syzygium oleosum
Lineage: Eukaryota; Viridiplantae; Streptophyta; Magnoliopsida; Myrtales; Myrtaceae
Exons: 5
Source: RefSeq, a predicted model, not a curated record